UCGAGGAGUUUGAAUAUGGCUCAGAUUGAACGCUGGCGGCAUGCCUAACACAUGCAAGUCGAACGGCAGCACAGCAGUAGCAAUACUGUGGGUGGCGAGUGGCGGACCCGGGCUUCUUGAUAGUAAAUGGCAUACGGGAUCUACCCAAACGUGGGGGAUAACGUCAGUGGAAACUUACGCUAAUACCGCAUACGUCCCAUGGGAGAAAGCGGGGGAUCGCAAGACCUCGCGCGGUUGGACGAACCGAUGUGCGAUUAGCUAGUUGGUAGGGUAAUGGCCUACCAAGGCGACGAUCGCUAGCUGGUCUGAGAGGAUGAUCAGCCACACUGGAACUGAGACACGGUCCAGACUCCUACGGGAGGCAGCAGUGGGGAAUAUUGGACAAUGGGCGCAAGCCUGAUCCAGCAAUGCCGCGUGUGUGAAGAAGGCCUUCGGGUUGUAAAGCACUUUUAUCAGGAGCGAAAUGCCAUUGGUUAAUACCCGGUGGAGCUGACGGUACCUGAGGAAUAAGCACCGGCUAACUUCGUGCCAGCAGCCGCGGUAAUACGAAGGGUGCAAGCGUUAAUCGGAAUUACUGGGCGUAAAGCGUGCGUAGGCGGUGAUUUAAGUCUGCUGUGAAAUCCCCGGGCUCAACCUGGGAAUGGCAGUGGAUACUGGAUCGCUAGAGUGUGAUAGAGGAUGGUGGAAUUCCCGGUGUAGCGGUGAAAUGCGUAGAGAUCGGGAGGAACAUCAGUGGCGAAGGCGGCCAUCUGGAUCAACACUGACGCUGAGGCACGAAAGCGUGGGGAGCAAACAGGAUUAGAUACCCUGGUAGUCCACGCCCUAAACGAUACGAACUGGAUGUUGGUUCUCAACUCGGAGAUCAGUGUCGAAGCUAACGCGUUAAGUUCGCCGCCUGGGGAAAACCCCCGUCGCAAGACUGAAACUCAAUGAAAUUGACCGGA
This 944-nucleotide ribosomal RNA is filed under the name Dyella japonica. Its description in RNAcentral is "bacterial SSU rRNA". It matches the Rfam family "Bacterial small subunit ribosomal RNA", at positions 1 to 918 of the family's 1533-position model. Lineage: Bacteria; Pseudomonadati; Pseudomonadota; Gammaproteobacteria; Lysobacterales; Rhodanobacteraceae. The record is from RNAcentral.